Molecule: small nucleolar RNA, 101 nt
Organism: Pan troglodytes (chimpanzee)
Lineage: Eukaryota; Metazoa; Chordata; Mammalia; Primates; Hominidae
Rfam family: Small nucleolar RNA U13
Source: Rfam
AUCCUUUUGUAGUUCGUAAGCAUGACGAUUGGGUUUUCACAUACAUGUCUCAGAAGUGCCUCUCUCAAACCUUGUUACGUCAGCACAUUACCUGUCUUACA